GAUGAAGAACGCAGCGAAGUGCGAUACGUAGUGUGAAUUGCAGAAUUCAGUGAAUCAUCGAAUCUUUGAACGCACAUUGCACCUCUCGGUAUUCCGGGAGGUAUGCCUGUUCGAGCGUCAUUUGUACCCUCAAGCUCUGCUUGGUGUUGGGUGUUUGUUCCGCCUCUGUGUGUGAACUCGCCUCAAAACAAUUGGCAGCCGGCGUACUUGUUUCGGAGCGCAGCACAUUUUGCGAUCCAGAUCAACGUACAGCGGCAUCCAAGAAGCCUUAUUUAACGCUCUUGACCUCGGAUCAGGUAGGGAUACCCGCUGAACUUAAGCAUAUCAAUAAGCGGAGGA
This 339-nucleotide unclassified non-coding RNA is filed under the name soil metagenome. RNAcentral's name for it is "partial contains 5.8S ribosomal RNA, internal transcribed spacer 2, and large subunit ribosomal RNA". The stretch from base 1 to 120 matches the Rfam family "5.8S ribosomal RNA", at positions 35 to 154 of the family's 154-position model. The record is from RNAcentral.